GAUGAUGAUGCCGUCGACCCUUGAUACAUCGUAGAUUGUGUACUUAGAAAUUUGAGAUAAUGGUGAGGAAAUGAAGGAGUUUCAAGUGCAAUGGGAGCCCCUGAAGGUUGGUAAGUUGAACAAGUGUUCGACAGAGGGUGACCUUGCGGCGAAUGAUCUAAAGUUAUGCCUCUCCAUUCAUUUAUCUGUGAAUUUUACUUUUGCUACCAAUCUUUGGAUUGUAAAUAUAACUCUCAGACAUUAGGUAUAGAUGUUUUAUACAGCGAACUUUUUAUAGCUGUAGAGAUGAUGCCUGGGCUAUGAAGAAUCAAUUCUUUCUUGUGUUAUUGAAACGUGAAACUCUACUAUGCUCACAGAUUCAUGAGGGAAAAUAUGAGUUUGGUAAAUUGGUGGAGCACUUGUAGACCUUCUACCUCAUUUGACAUCUAUAAAGCCAUUGAAAAAUGGUAAGUUUAUCGCCAGGAAGUGUAGAACUACUUGCUCAACUAUUCAUUUGCUUAUGAACUAUCUGAAACCAUUUACAUAUCCUCUGAAUACUGAA
This is a non-coding RNA of Phoenix dactylifera (date palm), 541 nucleotides long. The record is from RefSeq and is a predicted model, not a curated record. NCBI's taxonomy places the organism in Eukaryota, Viridiplantae, Streptophyta, Magnoliopsida, Arecales, Arecaceae.